Brassica napus (rape) is the source of this 824-nucleotide long non-coding RNA. RefSeq lists it as uncharacterized. NCBI's taxonomy places the organism in Eukaryota, Viridiplantae, Streptophyta, Magnoliopsida, Brassicales, Brassicaceae. The record is from RefSeq and is a predicted model, not a curated record. The transcript has 2 exons.
UCUUAACCAACCAAAAUAUAGAACAAGUGUCAAAUAAAUAAAAGGACAACCAAUAAAAGCUCGCCAUGUAUACUUGUCUCUCUCUCGGACUCAGACUCGAUUUCUGAUUUCUCACUGUACCACCAAACAUACACAUAAAAGAGAAAGCAAACUAAUCUGCCGCUGCUGAAAGAUUCCAAACGAUGAUAUGUUUGAGUAGGAUUUUUUCGGUUUCCAACGAAUCACCGGAUCCGUACAGUCCUCGUGUCUCAGGGUAUAACAAGCUUGCCUUCACUAGGGCGAAACCAGAGAUUGAGAUGGCAGCGAUUCUCGGCGUUAGACCCAUCAGAAUCUUCCUCUCUCGACUGAUUCCACGGAUAAGUUUACUUCCGGCUUUUGUAUCAUAGAAGGACCUGAAACAGUACAAGACUUUGCCAAAAUGCAAUUACAAGAGAUUCAAGAUAACAUUCGAAGCCGAAAACUUCUUCUUUCUAAAAGUUUCCUAAAGUGGAAACCUUUUUCAUCACGUUUCUUCUCUCUGUUUUCUAGGUACGGAGGCUGAGAAUACAACAACGUAUUAAAACACACAGAACUUGGCAUCAUCAACGAAGAGCAAGACCACGACUUACCUAAUUUCCCACCCUUAUCCCCUUCUUACAUCCAUUGGUGAGUUUCCCCAAUUACAAUCAGCACCUUCUUUGGACAUGUGCCCAAGGUGCAUUUGCACAAGGUCCAAUAUUAUUUUUACAUAUUUACUUCAUAUUUAAGGGUCCAAACAACAUAAAUCAUAGAAACUUUACCAGUAAAAUAUGAAAAUGCACAUAUAAUUAAGGUCCAUUUUAUUA